AUACGGAGGAUGCAAGCGUUAUCCGGAUUUAUUGGGUUUAAAGGGUGCGUAGGCGGUUUGCUAAGCGGGAGGUGAAAUGCCGGCGCUCAACGUCGGAAGUGCCUCCCGAACUGGUGGACUUGAAUGACUCUGCCGUGGGAGGCAUGUGUAGUGUAGCGGUGAAAUGCUUAGAGAUUACACAGAACACCGAUUGCGAAGGCAUCUCACGAAGGGUUGAUUGACGCUGAGGCACGAAAGCGUGGGGAUCAAACAGGAUUAGAUACCCUGGUAGUCCACGCAGUAAACGAUGAUGGCUAACCGCUGGGCUUAUCAGUUCAGUGGCCAAGCGAAAGCGAUAAGCCAUCCACCUGGGGAGUACGACCGCAAGGUUGAAACUUAAAGGAAUUGGCGGGG
RNAcentral lists this ribosomal RNA (393 nucleotides) under uncultured bacterium. RNAcentral describes it as "partial 16S ribosomal RNA". It matches the Rfam family "Bacterial small subunit ribosomal RNA", at positions 523 to 918 of the family's 1533-position model. The record is from RNAcentral.